UAAUGUCUGGGAAACUGCCUGAUGGAGGGGGGUAACUACUGGAAACGGUAGCUAAUACCGCAUAACGUCGCAAGACCAAAGAGGGGGACCUUCGGGCCUCAUGCCAUCAGAUGUGCCCAGAUGGGAUUAGCUAGUAGGUGGGGUAACGGCUCACCUAGGCGACGAUCCCUAGCUGGUCUGAGAGGAUGACCAGCCACACUGGAACUGAGACACGGUCCAG
RNAcentral lists this ribosomal RNA (220 nucleotides) under uncultured bacterium. Its description in RNAcentral is "partial 16S ribosomal RNA". It matches the Rfam family "Bacterial small subunit ribosomal RNA", at positions 111 to 334 of the family's 1533-position model. The record is from RNAcentral.